GAUGAACGCUGGCGGCGUGCCUAAUACAUGCAAGUCGAGCGAACAGACGAGGAGCUUGCUCCUCUGACGUUAGCGGCGGACGGGUGAGUAACACGUGGAUAACCUACCUAUAAGACUGGGAUAACUUCGGGAAACCGGAGCUAAUACCGGAUAAUAUUUUGAACCGCAUGGUUCAAUAGUGAAAGACGGUUUUGCUGUCACUUAUAGCUGGAUCCGCGCUGCAUUAGCUAGUUGGUAAGGUAACGGCUUACCAAGGCGACGAUGCGUAGCCGACCUGAGAGGGUGAUCGGCCACACUGGAACUGAGACACGGUCCAGACUCCUACGGGAGGCAGCAGUAGGGAAUCUUCCGCAAUGGGCGAAAGCCUGACGGAGCAACGCCGCGUGAGUGAUGAAGGUCUUCGGAGCGUAAAACUCUGUUAUUAGGGAAGAACAGAUGUGUAAGUAACUGUGCACGUCUUGACGGUACCUAAUCAGAAAGCCACGGCUAACUACGUG
Molecule: ribosomal RNA, 497 nt
Filed under: uncultured bacterium
Lineage: Bacteria
Description: partial 16S ribosomal RNA
Rfam family: Bacterial small subunit ribosomal RNA
Source: RNAcentral